UUCAGGGAAGAGUUCACUUCUUCAAACAGGAGGUCAGAGAGCUUGGAGGUGGUAGGCACAGAUAGACAAAAACUGGCACACAAGACCCAGAGUUCAGAUGAAUUAAUAAUGUCUCCUUUUUAUUGUUGUGGAUUUGCUAUUGUUCAGGUUUGCUAUUGCUCAGGCCGGUGUGUUGAAACAGGGACUUACUAUAGAGUUCUGGCUUGUCUAGAAUUCAUGACAUAGACCACACUGGCUUGACUUUCUUGUGGUCUUCUUCCUCUGCCUCUGGAGUACAGGGAUUACAGGUAUGGGCCACUGCUUCCAACAACUCAGUACUCAAGUGAAGCCACAACUGGCCCAAGAACCUUCCAGUAUGUUCCACCUCUGAAGGUUCACAAAGUUCCACCCCCACAAUGGGUCCAACUUUCCAACCAACACACACACCCAUGUUGGCACAGGAAUGGGGGAUGCUCGAGAGUCCAAAGCAUAGCUCAUCCAUGGAGUUAUGUUGUGAAUGCUGAUGAAAGCAUGUGUGUCCAGGCUGAGAAUCUACCAUGGUGAGGACAGCUGGCAGCAGGUCAGAAGAGGACUGAGAGAUCACAGAGAAAGAAAACCACAAUUAGGCCAGACUACCGACCCUCAAAACCUGCCCCAAGCGAUGUGCUGCCAGCAAGACUCCACCUCCUGAAGCUUCCAGAAACUCCCGUAGCAGCACCAUCAACAGGAGACCAAGGGUCAAGCCCUGCAGCCCAGGUCCUAAUGGCUAAAGCAUCCUUCUGUGUGCUGUGUCAUCUCCAUCCACCAAGUAGCACUCCAUCAAGGACCAGCAGCUAGCCCCUGCUUCAGAAGCUGCAAAAAAGGGUGAGCUCUACGAACCACAAUCACAAAGGAAAUCAUUUAAUGACCUCAGAGCUAUGGUACGGAUAAACGAAGUUGUAAGAAAAUCAGCCCUAAAGAGUACUCCAGGUAGGUGAC
Molecule: long non-coding RNA, 957 nt
Organism: Mus musculus (house mouse)
Lineage: Eukaryota; Metazoa; Chordata; Mammalia; Rodentia; Muridae
Product: predicted gene, 32932
Exons: 3
Source: RefSeq, a predicted model, not a curated record